Molecule: small RNA, 2022 nt
Filed under: Pongo abelii (Sumatran orangutan)
Lineage: Eukaryota; Metazoa; Chordata; Mammalia; Primates; Hominidae
Description: retained intron
Source: RNAcentral
GACCUGCCUCUUCUCCUGCUGGCAGGUACACUUCUUCAGGCUGUGUCCUCUGUGCAGGUAGGUAGGGGAUGGCAGGGGGUGAGAGCCAGAGGGAAGAGGGACCACAGGGUGACCCAGAAACACCCUCCUUUCAAAGGGAGCCCUGAGUAAGUUUGGGAAGGGUGGGGUAAGUUGGGGAGCACAGGGUAGUUUGAUGGAGGCAACCUCUGGGUGGGGAAGGGAGCAAUGUCUCAGGAUCUAGUGUGUCUAGGUUCUGAAGAAUGAUAAAUUGGACUGGGGCUGAGGUUGCCCUAGGGUUUGAGGGAACGGGGCUCCCUGGGUAUGGCUCUCCAGGGUGAGAGGAGACUUCCCAGUUCAGCCUGACUGCUUCCCCCACCCCUCCAGGUCCUGAGCCUUUGCCUCCAAAAGGUCUGCAGUAUCUGGUGCUCUUGUCUCAUGCCCACAGCCGAGAGUGCAGCCUGGUGCCCGGGCUUCGGGGGCCUGGCGGCCAAGAUGGGGGGCUUGUGUGGGAGUGCUCAGCAGGCCAUACCUUCUCCUGGGGACCCUCUUUGAGCCCUACACCUUCAGAGGCACCCAAGCCAGCCUCCCUUCCACAUACUUCUCGGAGAAGUUGGUGUUCCGAGGCCACAAGUGGGCAGGAGCUUGCAGAUUUGGAAUCUGAGCAUGAUGAGCGGACUCAAGAGGCCAGGUUGCCCAGGAGGGUGGGACCCCCACCAGAGACCUUUCCACCUCCAGGAGAGGAAGAGGGUGAGGAAGAGGACGAUGAUGAGGAUGAAGAGGAGAUGCUCAGUGAUGCCAGCUUAUGGACCUACAGCUCCUCCCCAGAUGAUAGUGAGCCUGAUGCCCCCAGACUACGCCCUUCCCCUGUCACCUGCACACCUAAAGAGGGGGAGACACCACCAUCCCCUGCAGCACUCUCCACUCCUCUUGCUCUGCCGUCCUUGUCAGCAUCCUCAUUGAGUUCCAGAGCUCCUCCACCUGCAGAAGUCAGGGUGCAGCCAGAGCUCAGCAGGACCCCUCAAGCGGCCCAGCAGACUGAGGCCCUGGCCAGGUAACCUGAUGGCUGAGACAGAAAGGGCAGGGGCGUCCUGGGAUGUGGCCCUCCCUCGAGGCCCUCUGCUCCCUCUUUGCUGCCCAUAGCACUGGGAGUCAGGCCCAGUCUGCUCCAACCCCGGCCUGGGAUGAGGACACUGCACAGAUUGGCCCCAAGAGAAUUAGGAAAGCUGCCAAAAGAGAGCUGAUGCCUUGUGACUUCCCUGGCUGUGGAAGGAUCUUCUCCAACCGGCAGUAUUUGAAUCACCACAAAAAGUACCAGCACAUCCACCAGAAGUCUUUCUCCUGCCCAGAGCCAGCCUGUGGGAAGUCCUUCAACUUUAAGAAACACCUGAAGGAGCACAUGAAGCUGCACAGUGACACCCGGGACUACAUCUGUGAGUUCUGCGCCCGGUCUUUCCGCACUAGCAGCAACCUUGUCAUCCACAGACGUAUCCACACUGGAGAAAAACCCCUGCAGUGUGAGAUAUGCGGGUUUACCUGCCGCCAGAAGGCUUCCCUGAACUGGCACCAGCGCAAGCAUGCAGAGACGGUGGCUGCCUUGCGCUUCCCCUGUGAAUUCUGCGGCAAGCGCUUUGAGAAGCCAGACAGUGUUGCAGCCCACUGUAGCAAAAGUCACCCAGCCCUGCUUCUAGCCCCUCAAGAGUCACCCAGUGGUCCCCUAGAGCCCUGUCCCAGCAUCUCUGCCCCUGGGCCUCUGGGAUCCAGCGAGGGGUCCAGGCCCUCUGCAUCUCCUCAGGCUCCAACCCUGCUUCCUCAGCAAUGAGCUCUCCUCCAGCUUUGGCUUUGGGGAGCCAGACUCCAGGGACUGAAAAGGAGCAAUGAGGAGAGGGUCUGCUUGAGAAACGCCAGAUGCUUGGUCCCCAGGAACUAAGGCGACAGAGUGCAGGGUGGGGGCAAGACUGGGCUGUAGGGGAGCUGGACUACUUUAGUCUUCCUAAAGGACAAAAUAAACAGAGUAUUUUAUGC